GCGGCGGCGUGGCCGCGAGAGGACUCCUGGUGCCGCCGUGCGCGCGUCUGCAGGGCCCACCCAGGACUUCCGGCCAGCAGGGCCAGGGUCGCUGCGGGUGAGGGCGCCGGGCCUGGGAAAUCCCUUCCAGGGAUGGAGUAGGGCGAGUGACACCAUCUCGGUGUGGGGCAGGGGUCCCUGUACGUUCUUCCACCUCAACCACAUGCUAUUCUUUGUGAUGAAAUACUGUUGAUCUGCAAGUUGUUCUUCUAAGACUUGAAAUACAUAUAAGUGGAUUGUAAUGGUAGAGAUUGAACGCGGUAGGCCCAAGGUUCGAUCCUCAGCACCGCAUACAGACAAAGAUGUUGUGUCCGCUGAAAACUAAAAAAUAAAUAUUAAAAUUCUCUCUCUCAAAAAAAAAAAAAA
Long non-coding RNA from Marmota monax (woodchuck), 405 nucleotides. RefSeq lists it as uncharacterized. The record is from RefSeq and is a predicted model, not a curated record. Lineage: Eukaryota; Metazoa; Chordata; Mammalia; Rodentia; Sciuridae. The transcript has 3 exons.